Long non-coding RNA from Sitophilus oryzae (rice weevil), 539 nucleotides. RefSeq lists it as uncharacterized. The transcript is spliced from 3 exons. The record is from RefSeq and is a predicted model, not a curated record. Lineage: Eukaryota; Metazoa; Arthropoda; Insecta; Coleoptera; Curculionidae.
CAUUUCACCCCUUCCCAUCACUUGUUUUCUAAACCUGCUUCAGGCGGCCGGUAAUCGGUAUUUUAUAGUUGAGUUUUGAGUUGAACAGUUGCUUGAUGGGACGCGGUAGGGGUGUUGCAUGGGUGUUGCUGUUGCGUUUGGUGCCGUGGUGCGAUUAGUUAUUAAUUAUGGAAAAAAAGUUAGUAGUUAAAAAUCGACUUCAACAAGAUGAGUACAAUUCUUUGGCUGCUAAAAUAGUGCUCCUUUUCCCACAAAGCCAAUGGGAGUGUAUUACUGUCCCCCUGUGAAAAGAGCAUGUAGUCCAUUUCACAAGACAGUUAUGGCUAAGGGCAAACUAGUGAAUCACUGCAGAAAUAUUUUAUUUAGAUCUGGUGAUACCCAAAAACAAAGAAAAAGGCCAGAUGACGAAGACUUUUGGUAUUGUCCCGAAACAAAAAAAAGAUAAUUUAGAAGAUACAUUUAAAGAAGAAAUUGCAUAGCUGCAACAUAAUACCGAGCCAUGGAAUAAAGUAAUGGAAUAUUGGACUCGAACCUGGGAA